RNAcentral lists this ribosomal RNA (275 nucleotides) under uncultured bacterium. RNAcentral's name for it is "partial 16S ribosomal RNA". It matches the Rfam family "Bacterial small subunit ribosomal RNA", at positions 523 to 796 of the family's 1533-position model. The record is from RNAcentral.
AUACGUAGGCGGCAAGCGUUGUCCGGAAUUACUGGGCGUAAAGAGCUCGUAGGCGGCUCAGCAAGUCGGUCGUGAAAGCCCGAGGCUCAACCUCGGAACUGCGGUCGAUACUGCUGUGGCUAGAGUCCGGUAGAGGAGAGUGGAAUUCCCGGUGUAGCGGUGGAAUGCGCAGAUAUCGGGAGGAACUCCAGUGGCGAAGGCGGCUCUCUGGGCCGGUACUGACGCUGAGGAGCGAAAGCGUGGGGAGCAAACAGGAUUAGAAACCCUAGUAGUCC